AUGAUUAGGGAUUUUUGGUGGGGCGAUGAAGAAGGCCACAAAAAGGUACACUGGAUGUCAUGGGAACGAAUGACAAAACCGAAAAGGGCAGGGGGCAUUGGAUUCAAAGAUAUGCAUUUAUUUAACCAAGCGCUCCUAGCCAAGCAAGGGUGGCGGCUGGUCCAGAAUCCAAACAGCCUAUGCGGGAGAGUCCUUAAGUCCAAAUAUUACCCUCCCGGUAACCUUCUGGACACAGUGUUUGCGACUGAUGCAUCCCCAGUUUGGAGAGCAAUAGAGUUUGGCCUCGAGCUUCUGAAAAAGGGUCUAAUAUGGAGAGUGGGAGAUGACCAGAAGAUCCAAAUAAAACGCGACCAAUGGAUCCCACGACGAGAGGGACUCAUGACAGCAGCAUUCAUAAGGAGAUCUCGGAUCAGAUAG
RNAcentral lists this ribosomal RNA (417 nucleotides) under Triticum aestivum (bread wheat). RNAcentral describes it as "partial small subunit ribosomal RNA". The record is from RNAcentral. Lineage: Eukaryota; Viridiplantae; Streptophyta; Magnoliopsida; Poales; Poaceae.